CUCUUAUCAAGAGCAGGUGGAGGGAUGAGCCCUAUGAAACCCGGCAACCGGUUUAUAAAAAACACGGUGCUAAUUCUUACAGUCAUCCGAUUGAUAGAUGAGAG
Molecule: non-coding RNA, 104 nt
Filed under: Alkalihalobacillus alcalophilus
Lineage: Bacteria; Bacillati; Bacillota; Bacilli; Caryophanales; Bacillaceae
Also listed under: 1 other name
Description: Bacillus alcalophilus SAM-I sequence
Rfam family: SAM riboswitch aptamer (S box leader)
About the family: The SAM riboswitch is found upstream of a number of genes which code for proteins involved in methionine or cysteine biosynthesis in Gram-positive bacteria. The SAM riboswitch acts at the level of transcription termination control.
Source: RNAcentral